This is a transfer RNA of Ramazzottius varieornatus, 81 nucleotides long. It matches the Rfam family "tRNA". Rfam says of the family: Transfer RNA (tRNA) molecules are approximately 80 nucleotides in length. Their secondary structure includes four short double-helical elements and three loops (D, anti-codon, and T loops). NCBI's taxonomy places the organism in Eukaryota, Metazoa, Tardigrada, Eutardigrada, Parachela, Ramazzottiidae. The record is from Rfam.
GCCGUGGUGUCCGAGUGGUUAAGGAGUCUGACUCGAAAUCAGAUGGGUUCUCCCGCAUAGGUUCGAAUCCUAUCCACGGCG